ACCUAAGAGAUUAAGCGUUCCCUUCGGGGACGGAAUGACAGGAGGGGCAUGAUGAUUUGACGUCAUCAGCUCGUGUCGUGAGAUGUUGGGUUAAGUCCCGCAACGAGCGCAACCCUUAUGAUCAGUUGCCAGCAUUCAGUUGGGCACUCUGGUCAGACUGCCGGUGACAAACCGGAGGAAGGCGGGGAUGACGUCAAAUCAUCAUGCCCCUUAUGACCUGGGCUACACACGUGCUACAAUGGGUGGUACAACGAGCAGCGAGACCCCGAGGUCAAGCUAAUCUCUUAAAGCCGUUCUCAUUUCCAAUUGUAGGCUGCAACUCGCCUACAUGAAGUUGGAAUCCCCUAGUAAUCGUGGAUUAGCAUGCCACGGGUGAAUACGUUCCCGGGGUCUUGUAACC
Molecule: ribosomal RNA, 400 nt
Filed under: uncultured bacterium
Lineage: Bacteria
Description: bacterial SSU rRNA
Rfam family: Bacterial small subunit ribosomal RNA
Source: RNAcentral